AUACGGAGGGUGCAAGCGUUACUCGGAAUCACUGGGCGUAAAGCGCGCGCAGGCGGCUAUUUAAGUUGGAUGUGAAAGCCUACGGCUCAACCGUAGAACUGCAUCCAAAACUAUUUAGCUAGAGUGUGGGAGAGGAAGAUGGAAUUAGUUGUGUAGGGGUAAAAUCCGUAGAGAUAACUAGGAAUACCAAAAGCGAAGGCAAUCUUCUGGAACACUACUGACGCUGAGGCGCGAAAGCGUGGGGUGCAAACAGGAUUAGAAACCCUAGUAGUCC
RNAcentral lists this ribosomal RNA (274 nucleotides) under uncultured bacterium. RNAcentral describes it as "partial 16S ribosomal RNA". It matches the Rfam family "Bacterial small subunit ribosomal RNA", at positions 523 to 796 of the family's 1533-position model. The record is from RNAcentral.